CCUACGGGUGGCAGCAGUGAGGAAUAUUGGUCAAUGGGAGAGAUCCUGAACCAGCAAAGCCGCGUGAGGGAAGACGGCCCUAUGGGUUGUAAACCUCUUUUGUCGGAGAACAAAACCCGGGACGUGUCCCGGACUGCGUGUAUCCGAAGAAAAAGCACCGGCUAACUCCGUGCCAGCCGACGCGGUAAUCCGGAGGAUGCGAGCGUUAUCCGGUUUUAUUGGGUUAAAGGGGUGCGUAGGCGGUCCGUUAAGUCAGCGGUAAAAUUGCGGGGCUCAACCCCGUCGAGCCGUUGAAACUGGCAGACUUGAGUGGGCGAGAAGUACGCGGAAUGCGCGGUGUAGCGGUGAAAUGCAUAGAUAUCGCGCAGAACUCCGAUUGCGAAGGCAGCGUACCGGCGCCAGACUGACGCUGAGGCACGAAAGCGUGGGGAGCGAACAGGAUUAGAUACCCGGGUAGUC
RNAcentral lists this ribosomal RNA (459 nucleotides) under uncultured bacterium. RNAcentral's name for it is "partial 16S ribosomal RNA". It matches the Rfam family "Bacterial small subunit ribosomal RNA", at positions 338 to 795 of the family's 1533-position model. The record is from RNAcentral.